Molecule: ribosomal RNA, 500 nt
Filed under: uncultured bacterium
Lineage: Bacteria
Description: partial 16S ribosomal RNA
Rfam family: Bacterial small subunit ribosomal RNA
Source: RNAcentral
AUUGAACGCUGGCGGCAUGCCUUACACAUGCAAGUCGAACGGCAGCACGGGAGCAAUCCUGGUGGCGAGUGGCGAACGGGUGAGUAAUACAUCGGAACGUGCCCAAUCGUGGGGGAUAACGUAGCGAAAGUUACGCUAAUACUGCAUACGAUCUACGGAUGAAAGCGGGGGACCGCAAGGCCUCGCGCGAUUGGAGCGGCCGAUGGCAGAUUAGGUAGUUGGUGGGGUAAAGGCCUACCAAGCCUCCGAUCUGUAGCUGGUCUGAGAGGACGAUCAGCCACACUGGGGCUGAGACACGGCCCAGACUCCUACGGGAGGCAGCAGUGGGGAAUUUUGGACAAUGGGCGAAAGCCUGAUCCAGCAAUGCCGCGUGCAGGACGAAGGCCUUCGGGUUGUAAACUGCUUUUGUACGGAGCGAAACGGCUUUCACUAAUACUGGGGGCUAAUGACGGUACCGUAAGAAUAAGCACCGGCUAACUACGUGCCAGCCGCCGCGGUAA